CGCAACCAAAUGGUAGCUCGUCAGGCUCAUAACCUGAAGGCCGCAGGUUCAAAUCCUGCCCCCGCAACCA
Molecule: transfer RNA, 70 nt
Filed under: Brucella suis
Lineage: Bacteria; Pseudomonadati; Pseudomonadota; Alphaproteobacteria; Hyphomicrobiales; Brucellaceae
Description: tRNA-Met
Rfam family: tRNA (bases 12-61)
About the family: Transfer RNA (tRNA) molecules are approximately 80 nucleotides in length. Their secondary structure includes four short double-helical elements and three loops (D, anti-codon, and T loops).
Source: RNAcentral